UAGCGACAAUAGCACUGUGGAACCACCUGAGCCCAUGCCGAACUCAGAAGUGAAACGCAGAUUGCGCCGAUGGUAGUGUGGGAGUUCCCAUGUGAGAGUAGGUCAUCGCUA
Molecule: ribosomal RNA, 111 nt
Filed under: uncultured Thalassotalea sp.
Lineage: Bacteria; Pseudomonadati; Pseudomonadota; Gammaproteobacteria; Alteromonadales; Colwelliaceae
Source: RNAcentral